GGUGGCUCAGUGGUAGAGCACUUGCCUUGCAUGCAUGAGGCCUUGGGUUCGAUUCCUCAGCACCA
Non-coding RNA from Dipodomys ordii (Ord's kangaroo rat), 65 nucleotides. The record is from Rfam. Lineage: Eukaryota; Metazoa; Chordata; Mammalia; Rodentia; Heteromyidae.